UACGUAGGGUGCGAGCGUUGGCCGGAAUUAUUGGGCGUAAAGAGCUUGUAGGCGGUUUGUCGCGUCUGCUGUGAAAAUCCGGGGCUCAACCCCGGACUUGCAGUGGGUACGGGCAGACUAGAGUGUGGUAGGGGAGACUGGAAUUCCUGGUGUAGCGGUGGAAUGCGCAGAUAUCAGGAGGAACACCGAUGGCGAAGGCAGGUCUCUGGGCCACUACUGACGCUGAGAAGCGAAAGCAUGGGGAGCGAACAGG
RNAcentral lists this ribosomal RNA (253 nucleotides) under uncultured bacterium. RNAcentral's name for it is "partial 16S ribosomal RNA". It matches the Rfam family "Bacterial small subunit ribosomal RNA", at positions 524 to 776 of the family's 1533-position model. The record is from RNAcentral.